ACCUCUUCCCUUUGGUCUUGUGGAGAAUCCGCUUGUUGUAGUAGUAGCUGUGAGCAGAGGGAGGACACUGAUGCAGAGGUGAAGGCAGAGCCCCCAACACUUGCUUGGCGCCCAGCACAGAACACAACAGCUUGGGGAAACUGAGGCCAAAGUCACAGGGCCAGGCAGGGGCUGGGAUCCUGUCCUGUGUGGCUCUAAAGUCCAGGGCUUUGGUCCUUCACUCACAAGUGGAUACUUAUGGUAGCUACAGGCACAGAGCCCUGUGCACUGGGAUCCCAUACGAUUCUGCCCCCAGGAAGUUGAGGGAAAGCCCCCAGGGGACAGGGCCCCAGAGGGACAGUGAGGGGAGCAGGACAAGGUCCCCAGCCCCUCCUCACCGCAGAGCCCGGCUCAGCUUGUCAUAAUUCAUGUGAGGCUUGCACUUCCGGAUGCCCCAGAGCCGAGCCACCUCGUCGGGGUCCUUGAUGACGAACUCCCCAUAGUCCCCUUGCCAGGCGAUGACACCCUGGUACUCCUCUUUCUGCAGCAGCUCCAGGAUAAAGUGCCACAGCUGGAUCUGCCUGGAGCCGGGGGACGACUCCGGCUUGUAGGCCCAAUCCGGGAAGGCAAAGCCUGGAGACAGGAGGCAGGGAAGUGGCCCCAGGGCUCUGUCUAAAGAGGAGAGAGACGCGGCCCAAGACCCUUCUCCCGCAGCCCCCACACGCAUGCACACACACACUGACAGACACACACAUCACACCCGGACACAGAGAUACACCCACACACACCCCCCUUGGUGCUCCAUCUGCACCCAGCCUGGUACACACGCCUCCAUUUACCACACACCCAUGUAGGACAGACCUGUGCACACAGCAGACACACAGUAGACCCCCUGUGCAUGCACACACACUCUCUCUGCACACACAUGACUAGGCACCCUUCACACACACCACACAUAAACACACACUGUCCCACCUGGGUGCACACAGCCGGCCGCCUGUUCUCAUACACUAUGUUAGCACAUACUCCCUGCACACCUGUCUGUACAGACUAUUCCACAUCCAUGGGUACACAAACCUAGGCCCCAGGACCUCCCAUGAUAGGUACCAAGGAGACCCCCGUGGCUGUCCCAGGGAGGAAGGGGUCAGGAAGGUGAUAGGGGCUCUCCUGCCUGGCCUUGCCUCCACUCCCAAGGUCACCCACUCUACCCCCGCCCACAUCCACCAAAUGGUCUGACCUGACCACAGGCAGGGGUGUUCUUGUGUGUGUAUACGCACACACACACACACACACCCUUGUCUCUACUUCUGUCAAGGCCACACACUGUCAUCCCCACAACCGCCCAGCUCGUUUGAGACCUGGCUCAUCCCCACAGGAAACAGGGACGGAAACACGGGCAGCUGUGACAAACGGGGCCACAACACACACGGUGACACCACACCCAGGCCGGCGCCCACACGGCAUCGGCGUGCAGCCCCGCACACCGCUGAGCAUCGGUUUACACAAGCGGUGCACACGUACACCACCAAACAGCUCACAUGAAUACACAGCCAGACACACACAGCCUUCCACACCCUUCAGGGCUGGCCACACACAGUCUCGUUCAUGUAUCCGUCAUGAACUGAUGCCCCUUAUCCAGCUCCCCAAAUGACCACACACACAUGUACACACACCCGGCCCACGCCUGACCCCAGACUCAGACACAAGCCCACACACAACGGCACCCCCUGCACACAAAGGCACCGCCGCACACAGCCAGCCUCUGAUGCAGCAGUUCGGGGGGAACUUUUGCGACCGUGUCCAGAGCUGUCCCUGUGCCAUGUUCCUCAUACUCACGCUCACCAGCCUGGCUCCUGGGGUCCCACCAGGGCGGCGCUCUCGGUCCUUCCACCCCGCCUCCCUGGGGCUAAGCCUGCUGGGCUCCUGGCUCUCAGGCAGGUCCUCUCUUGGCCACUCAGACACGCCGUGUGCCACCUGACCCAGAAGCUCCGAACACGGCACAUCUCCAGGGCUUCGGGGGCAGACAGCUGAGCAUCACACCCCAGUCACACACAUGGGCAUAAACAUGACAUGCGUGGUUCAGUUCAACCGCAAGGCCUCACGCACCCACACUUAGUCACUGUGCCCAGGAACACACACCUCUCCACAAGCCACGUUUACAUGUGCUGUAACAGAGGUCCCACGGUCUCACGAAAAGGCAGCCAAGCCCCCCCAAAGCAUCACACACACCACAGACACACACAGUCCAGACAGCUUGCACACAUGCACACACAGGCGUGCACACACCCCCAGGAACCUCUGCCCAGGCUGACUGUGCAAGACGGAGGGACAGUUUGGCAGACAGACGGGGCACCGGCUUCCAGCCUGGAGAAGGUGGGUGUGGGGUGCUUGGGAGGCACGAAGCCAGGGCAGGAAAAGAGACCUCAGACCCACCCGCACACUGCCUGUCCCUCUAGCUGGCAUCUCUGAGGUGGUGUGUGUCUCUCGAGGUCUCAGUCUCUCUCCCUGAGUUCCAGUCUCUGCAUGGAUGUCUCUGGGGCUGCGGCCAGCGCUCCGAACGGUGUCAGGAAGGGGGGGUGGCGAGGGAGCGUCCCCCGGGAGGUGGGAGCCGCAGUGCCACGCACCCCGCCUACCAAACAGUGCUGGGGGAAGGGAGAGGGACGGAGGCGCAACCGCAGAUGGACCCAGAGCCUGGGCUCUGCUCCCCCACCCCCGCCCUCCCCUCCAACACCCAGAGAGAUGGAGCAAGCACAGGGCUGGGGGAGACUGAGAGACACCUGCAGAGAGAGAGAGAUAGAGAGACAGAGCAAUGGGGAAAGGGAGAUAUGGGAGAGAAGCGCAGGGGGGAGCAGCCCUGAGUGGUGAAAAAGAUUGGAACAGAGACAGGAGAGACGCAGAGAGAAGACAGGAGGCCAGAGAGAGUCUCACAAAGACCAACAGGAGCGAGACAGAGAGACUGACAGAGACCACAGCCGGGGCGGGAGACCCGAGUUAGGGAAACCCGGGAAAGAGGAGUGGGUCUGAGAGAGGCUUCACAAAGUGAAUUAGAGCUGGAGGUCACGGGGAGAGAGCUGCUGGGAGGAGAGUCCCCAGGUCAGGGAGGAAGGAGAGGAGGGGGCAGAGAUGCGGAAAAUUGAGGGAUUAGGGCAGAGGUACAGGAGUGGAUGAGGGGGGCUGCAGGGCCCGAGGCCGGAGCAACGGUGGGGAAAGUCGAGUCCUGCUGGCACAGGCAGACCCCAGGUGCGGCUCACGGCCACCUCAACGCUCACCUGGGAUCUUCUGCAGUCUUGGGGGAGGGGACCAGUGUUGGGGGGGCCUGAUCUAGUUCCUGGCUGCCACCCCAACUCCAAAGCCUGCCCCCUCCUCCUCCUCACCACCAUCCCGCUCCAACCCCAACCCCAACUCCAGCCCCUGCGUCCACCUGAACCCCAGUGGAGUUGGGGUUCUCUUCCCAAGCUGGUCCUCAACUCCUCCGGGUGAAUCCCAGUCUCAUCCUUACAGCCCCAGGCCCUGCACCACCUGCCCCCCUGCCCCCGCACUGCUGGAUCCGCUGGCCCCAGGCUCUGUGUCAGAGACAGUGGCAAUGACUGUGGCAUGGUGGGGGUGCUGGGGAGGGGGGGAGGGACAGGACACCGAAGGCAAGGGUGACCAGCUAGUCCCAGGAGCCAUGAGACCACGGAAGCCCCUCUGGACUGCACUGGCCGAAGGGCAGGGAGGUUGUGUGUCCUGCUCACAGGGCUUGGCACCAAGUAUGUGCUCAGCAAAUACUGUUGGAAGGGAACUCAGGCUACAGGGAGCAAGGCAGGGAGACAGAGGGAUGGUGUGAGUCAAGGAAUAGAAAGGAAGAGACCCAUGGACAGCAGUGGAGGUGGGGAGGCGAGACCCAGGGCAAGGGGGCAGAGAGGUGGGGCACGAGGGCAGGACCCCCGCAUCCGGAGCCAGGCAUGGGGCUGGGCCAGCUGGAACAGGGUGCCUGGGCUUCGGGGAGCCCACAAGGGCCAGAGAAGGGCCAGGGUCCGGCUGGACUGGGGGAGGCUCGGGGCUCCAGGGGCAUCGCACGGUGCUAAUUCAGCGCCAUCGAUCAGACGGGAUGAGAGCAAUAAAUUAUUGUGACAAGAUGCAAUCCUGGCCCGCACACUGCCGCCGAGGCAGAUCGAUCCCUGUCCCCAGCCCCACACCGGGUCCCAUGCCCAGGCCUCGGCCAGCCGGGACACUUCUGCCCACCUCUCUCUCCAUUCCCCCCACCACACACAUGCUUCCACUGACAGCCAGGCGGGGCUGCAGCCCUGGGAAAGAGACAAGAGCAGAGAGGGACCCACGGAGGGAAGGUCAGCCCCCUUUUUUCCCCCUCCCCACCAACAGCUCGCAUCCUCUGGCUUCCUUCAGUCUCUCAUCCACACUAUGACCUGGGAGGUAGCAGCUGCCAUGAUACCCAUUUCACAGAUGCAAAAACUGAGGCUCCAAUCGGGAAAGUAACUUGGCCAAAGUCCCACAGGGGUGAGUGGUGAUAUCUGGACUCAAAUGCAGAUCAGUAUGACUUGAAGUCUCCCUAAGAUUUCCACUGUCAGUGGAGAGGACAAGGAACAGAGACAGGAGAGGAGAGAGGCGACAGAGAAUGAGACAGAGUGUGCAGGAUGCAGACAAACAGAGAGUCAGGGCGCUAUAGAGAGAUAGGGAGGGAUACAGAGACAUUGAGAGAGACAGAAAUGGAGAAAAACAGAACAAAGGGAGGGAGGAAAAGAGACAGAUCCAGGGAUAAGCAAAGGGGGAUGGGCAGAUGGAACAGAGAUGGAGACAGAGAGAGGGGAUAAAAGACAGGUGGGGGGAUAGGAAACAGGAGCCAGGAAAGAGGUAUGUGGUGUAGAGACGGGUAGUUCCAGAGACCCAGGUGUACGUGGGGAGACAGGUGUGUGUCAGCAGACUGCACUCGCUUGGCAGGGGGGGCAGGGGGGAACCAGGAGGCGGAUGACAAGCUUGGCCGGGGUCGGGGCGGGGGGAAGUCACUGUCAGAGAGAGAGAGGUGUGCCAGCAGGUAGGUAGGGUAUCCAAGGACAGGAGUGGAGGUAGAAUGUGGGGUGUCAGAGAGCUAGCAGGUGAUGGGCAAGCAAAUGAUGCAACAGUGAUGAGGUGGACAGACGUGUCUGUGGGGGAAGGUGGUCACCUGAUGGGCAGGUGUAGGGGACAGGGACACUUGCAUGCCUGCAGUCAGAUGGCCUCAGAUUGAUGCAAAUCUCCAGUAUCUACCAGCUUCCGAGCCCAGAAAUGACUCCAUUUCUCUGGACUCAGUUUCCUUCUCUGCAAAAUGGGAAUAAGGGAUAAGAUAAAUGCCUCCCUCCUAAGGGUCUCAUGAAGAUGAAAUGAGACAAUGGAUAUGAAGAACAGAAGACACGGACUGUCACAGAGAUGGGUGUUUAAUAAGCAGUGGCCAGGGACAGGUUAUGAGCAGGUGCUACUCAGAGAGCGCUCCGUGGACCAGCAGCAGCAGCGGCAUGACCUGGAGCUUAUUAGAAAUGCAGAGUGUCAGGCUCCUCCCCAGACCUGCUGCACCAGAGUCUCUGCGGUGAGAUCCAGGUCUCGGGUCCCACAAGCCCUCCAGAUGUCUCCUCUGCCCGCUGUAGUCUAAGAACCCCUGACUUAAGAGCUUCUGCACGCCGCAGCGGGCAGGUGUGUGGACAGCCGUGAACAGGUGUUAUACGUGUUUAACAAAUGCUACAGGUGUUGCUUAUGUGCACUGAGAAGGGUAUUCCCUGAGGAGAUAGAUGGCUGGUGACAAGUUCUGCGGAAAAGGGACAGGUCAUUCCAGAGGGAAGUGGGCUGGAGACAGGUGUGAGGGAUCUGAAGGUUAGGCUCUAAAGGGGCAGGGGCGACAGAUUGUAUGAGCAGGUGGCUGAGAGGGACGGGGUGGGUACACAGUGUUUGAAAAAGCUAUGAAGGAACGAGGGCCACAGUGGAUGUGGUGAGUUAGGGAGAAGGCUAGAGAGUUGGGAGUCAGGUGCUCGUCUGUGGGGCUGGAGCAGGAAUCCCCUUGGGGACAGGCUGGGGAGUCCGGCGGUCUGGCAGAGACCUGGAUGAAGAGAUGUAAAGCAGAGAGAGACUAAGGAGAGGGUGCGUGGAGGGCUCAGUACCUGUUUGCUUGAAGAAAUGAGUGGGCGUGGUACCAGAGCAGCCGAUGCCUAAGAUGGACAGGUGAGCAAUCAGCAGGUGUGUGGAGAUAUUGGUAUGAUCUUGUGAGGCAAGGCAAAAGAAGUGAGGGACAUGGAACGUUAGGUAUGUGGGGAAAGAAGAGAGGCAGAUAAGUAGUGCCUGCAGGGACAGGUAUGCAGGUGAGGCAGGUACCUGUGGACCAGGACAGAUUCCUGGCCCGAAGGCAUGCCAGCAUGGAGCUACACCUUGGGAGACCCAGAGAGAGACAGCGAGGACAGAGGCCAGCAGCACGGGCUUGAAGGAGACAUGGCAGGGGAGGGACCCAAGAAAGAUGGCUACACCUGGUACCUGGGGGCCACUGCACCUGAGAGCCAUGGGGGGAUGGUUAGGAGAGACCUGAGGUUGGCGCAUGCGCUCUUGUCUGGGAUGAGUUACCUGAAAUGACAGGUAUGGAGGAAGCCUUGGAAGUCGGUGUACUUACGUUAAACGAUGGGAGACAGGAGACGCAAGAGAGCAUGUGAGGGAGUUAGGUGCAGGCAGAGAGAGUGCCAUGAAGAAGAUGCAUUUCCCAAGUGACAAGGGCAUGGGAGGUUCUUCUGGAAGGACCAGCGUGAGGGUGGACAAGGUCAGCAUUGUAAGGGAGAGGUAUGGGUGAGAGCCAGGGGUGGGGGUGAGAGGGGGCAGGCGUGACCUGAGGUCAGAGAAGAAGGAUGCUGCUGUGUUGAGCGUGAGUGUGUAUGUGUAAAGGAAGGGACUGCGUGAGAGAGAGUGAGGUAAGACAUGGUGGACAGGUACUGCCUGAAGGAGACAGAGAUGAAGAAAUACAGAUGUGUGAGAAACAAGUGCGUCUAGGGCUUUCCGGGGGAGGUGGGGGUGGUGCAGCUGCAGGUAGAGAGGGAAUAAUGUGGUAUGAAAUGAGACAUGCCGGGACUCAGGUGGAAGGAGCAAAGUUCGGAGAACAUGUUACUUGGAGGUGCAGGUAAGCUUGAUCAUGGGCAUCUUUGGGACAGGUUUCUUCAAGGGACAAGUGUUACUUGGGGGGUGGGACAGAUGAGAGGAAACAGGUGACAUCUGGAGGGGGGUGUAGAUGAAGGGAACAGGUGCGGAGGACAGGGAUUACCUACAGGGCACAGGUGUAAAGAGUCGAAUGUUACCUGGAGGUCCAGAUGUGGGACACCGAUGUGACAGGUGUGUUGAUAGGCAGGUGUGGGUGAAAGAUGUUACCUGGGGCCACAGGUGUGUGCAGCAUGACUCUUUGGGGGUGGUUUGUGGCUUCCGUUUCACUCAUUACCCCCUCUCCUCCUCCCCAGGGGCCGGCUGAGCUCUCGGACCCCUCCCCAGGCUCUGGCCCGCGGCAGGGCACGCAGUUAGCUCUGGGCUCGGCCUGCCGGCAGCCGGGGCUCCAGAGGCUGCUUGGCGAUGCGGAGCGCGUCUGGGCCUCGGCGGGCCGGCCGGGCGGGGGGAGCGGGAGGGGGGGCCGUUUAGCCGUGAUAGAUCCGCGCGCCGCUUGUCUCUUAAUCUCCGGAGCGACCGAUCGAUUCGCUAUUUCCCUUUGUUGCCAGAAAAUUCGAUCCUGGGCCUGGAAUUAGGUCCCCGGCUUAAUCUGAGCGGAAACCAGCGAGGGGGAGACAGAGACAGAGACACUGGGAGAGACAGAGACAGAGAGAUAGUGAGAGACCGAGACAGAGAGAUGCUGAGAAAGAUAGGGGAAGGGCAGAGAUAGGCACAGAGAUUCUGAGAGAUGGUCUAAGAGUUGGACCCAAAGAGGUAGAGACAUGCUGCGAGAGACAGAGAGA
Long non-coding RNA from Bubalus bubalis (water buffalo), 7919 nucleotides. RefSeq lists it as uncharacterized. The transcript has 2 exons. The record is from RefSeq and is a predicted model, not a curated record. NCBI's taxonomy places the organism in Eukaryota, Metazoa, Chordata, Mammalia, Artiodactyla, Bovidae.